RNAcentral lists this ribosomal RNA (496 nucleotides) under uncultured bacterium. RNAcentral's name for it is "partial 16S ribosomal RNA". It matches the Rfam family "Bacterial small subunit ribosomal RNA", at positions 29 to 507 of the family's 1533-position model. The record is from RNAcentral.
AUGAACGCUGGCGGCGUGCCUAAUACAUGCAAGUCGAGCGAACAGACGAGGAGCUUGCUCCUCUGACGUUAGCGGCGGACGGGUGAGUAACACGUGGAUAACCUACCUAUAAGACUGGGAUAACUUCGGGAAACCGGAGCUAAUACCGGAUAAUAUAUUGAACCGCAUGGUUCAAUAGUGAAAGACGGUUUUGCUGUCACUUAUAGAUGGAUCCGCGCCGCAUUAGCUAGUUGGUAAGGUAACGGCUUACCAAGGCAACGAUGCGUAGCCGACCUGAGAGGGUGAUCGGCCACACUGGAACUGAGACACGGUCCAGACUCCUACGGGAGGCAGCAGUAGGGAAUCUUACGCAAUGGGCGAAAGCCUGACGGAGCAACGCCGCGUGAGUGAUGAAGGUCUUCGGAUCGUAAAACUCUGUUAUUAGGGAAGAACAAAUGUGUAAGUAACUAUGCACGUCUUGACGGUACCUAAUCAGAGAGCCACGGCUAACUACGUG